RNAcentral lists this ribosomal RNA (569 nucleotides) under Espadarana prosoblepon (emerald glass frog). RNAcentral's name for it is "partial 16S ribosomal RNA". It matches the Rfam family "Bacterial large subunit ribosomal RNA", at positions 1832 to 2597 of the family's 2925-position model. The record is from RNAcentral. Lineage: Eukaryota; Metazoa; Chordata; Amphibia; Anura; Centrolenidae.
CGCCUCUUGAAUAAAUAUAAGAGGUCCAGCCUGCCCAGUGACUCUGUUCAACGGCCGCGGUAUCCUAACCGUGCGAAGGUAGCGUAAUCACUUGUUCUUUAAAUGAGGACUAGUAUGAAUGGCACCACGAAGGUUAUACUGUCUCCUCUCCCUAAUCAGUGAAACUAAUCUCCCCGUGAAGAAGCGGGAAUAAACAUAUAAGACGAGAAGACCCUAUGGAGCUUUAAACUAUGUAACACUUGCACCACCACAACACAAAUUUCAGAAAAAUCUCUCCAACGCAUGCAAGCUUAUUACCAGUUUUAGGUUGGGGUGACCGCGGAGCAAAAAACAACCUCCACAUUGAAAGGAACUUACUCCUUAGCCAAGAGCCACACCUCCACGCACCAUUAUAAUGACAUUAAUUGACCCAAUAUUUUGAUCAACGAACCAAGUUACCCUAGGGAUAACAGCGCAAUCCAUUUCAAGAGCUCCUAUCGACAAAUGGGUUUACGACCUCGAUGUUGGAUCAGGGUAUCCCGGUGGUGCAGCCGCUACCAAAGGUUCGUUUGUUCAACGAUUAAAACCCU